RNAcentral lists this non-coding RNA (75 nucleotides) under Parafrankia sp. Ea1.12. RNAcentral also lists the same sequence under 1 other name. Lineage: Bacteria; Bacillati; Actinomycetota; Actinomycetes; Frankiales; Frankiaceae. The record is from RNAcentral.
AAGAGCGGAGUGAACCGAGAGGCUCACGCUCCGUUCUGCGGGAGCCGGGGGUGCGAUCCCCCCGGGCCACCCGAC